UAGGGAAUCUUCGGCAAUGGGGGGAACCCUGACCGAGCAACGCCGCGUGAGUGAAGAAGGUUUUCGGAUCGUAAAGCUCUGUUGUUAAGGAAGAACGAGUGUGAGAAUGGAAAGUUCAUGCUGUGACGGUACUUAACCAGAAAGGGACGGCUAACUACGUGCCAGCAGCCGCGGUAAUACGUAGGUCCCGAGCGUUGUCCGGAUUUAUUGGGCGUAAAGCGAGCGCAGGCGGUUAGAAAAGUCUGAAGUGAAAGGCAGUGGCUCAACCAUUGUAGGCUUUGGAAACUGUUUAACUUGAGUGCAGAAGGGGAGGGUAGAAUUCCAUGUGUAGCGGUGAAAUGCGUAGAUAUAUGGAGGAACGCCGGUGGCGACAGCGGCUCUCUGGUCUGUAGCUGACGCUGAGGCUCGAAAGCGUGGGGAGCGAACAGG
This 429-nucleotide ribosomal RNA is filed under the name Bacteroidota bacterium. Its description in RNAcentral is "Bacteroidetes bacterium partial 16S ribosomal RNA". It matches the Rfam family "Bacterial small subunit ribosomal RNA", at positions 355 to 776 of the family's 1533-position model. Lineage: Bacteria; Pseudomonadati; Bacteroidota. The record is from RNAcentral.